RNAcentral lists this ribosomal RNA (389 nucleotides) under uncultured bacterium. RNAcentral's name for it is "bacterial SSU rRNA". It matches the Rfam family "Bacterial small subunit ribosomal RNA", at positions 28 to 417 of the family's 1533-position model. The record is from RNAcentral.
GACGAACGCUGGCGGCGUGCUUAACACAUGCAAGUCGAGCGGUAAGGCCCUUUCGGGGUACGACGAGCGGCGAACGGGUGAGUAACACGUGGGUGACCUGCCUCCAGCUCUGGGAUAAGCCCGGGAAACGUGGGUCUAAUACCGGAUAUGACUUCAUGACGCAUGUUGUGGAGUGGAAAGCCUUGUGCGGCUGAGGAUGGGCCCGCGGCCUAUCAGCUUGUUGGUGGGGUGAUGGCCUACCAAGGCGACGACGGGUAGCCGGCCUGAGAGGGCGACCGGCCACACUGGGACUGAGAUACGGCCCAGACUCCUACGGGAGGCAGCAGUGGGGAAUCUUGCGCAAUGGGCGAAAGCCUGACGCAGCGACGCCGCGUGAGGGAUGACGGCCU